UUUUUGUAUACAAGUGUAUUUAGAAGUUGAAUGAUCUUUAAUCCUAAGUAUCACCUUAUGUGUAUGGAUGACAAUUGUGCUUGGAGUUUCAAAUCUUCUGCCGUUUUCAAAGCAAACAUAUUCAAAGUGAAAAGUUACAGUAAUAAUCACACAUACGGCUAUGGUGAAAGAUACUUAACACAACGUCAAGCUACUCCGGGUGUAAUUGCUAGUAUAGUCAAGGACAAGUAUGUUAAUCCAAAAAAAGUUUACACCGCAAAUAAUAUAAUAGAGGACAUACAAAAGCAACAUGGGAUUGAAGUGAGCUACAUGAAAGCAUGGAGAGCUAAAGAGAUAGCAAUGACAAUGAUAAGAGGGAGUCCGAGUGAUUCAUAUAAGGAGUUGCCGAAGUAUUUUUAUAUAUUGGAGCAAACAAAUCCAGGAAUGGUUACAAAAUUGCACAAAUCAGAAGAUGGAUGCUUAGGGCUGGGAGCAUUGCAGACCGAUAAUGGUUGUAGAUGGAAGUUUCCUUAAAGCAGCAUAUAAGGGUACCAUAUUGACUGCUUGCACACAGGAUGGAGCUGGAAAAAUCCUUCCACUUGCAUAUGCAAUUGUAGAUUCAGAGAGUAACAAAUCUUGGGAGUGGUUCUUUGUCCAGAUAAAGGGUACUUUUGAAGUUAGGGAAGGGAUAUGUAUAGUUUCAGAUAGAAAUGAAAGCAUAUUCAAUGCCACAAAAACUGUGUACCCAGAAGUACCGCAUUGUAUUUGCAUGUUUCACUUGUGGCAGAAUGUAAAGCGCACAUUCAAGAAACGUCACAAGCAAUUGAAAUUUAUAUCUUCUUUGCUUUGUCUAGAGCUUACACGAUAGAGAAAUUUGAGUACCAUAUGACAGAGAUGUGUAAAAUUGAUCCGAGAGUGCAGCCUUACUUGUUCGAAAUUGGCUACGAAAGGUGGUCUAGGGCAUAUUCCAAAGUGAAAAGGUCGAUGGUAAUGACUUUCAAUAUUGCAGAGUCAAUUAAUGCAGCAAACAAGGAUGCUAGAGAGUUACCAGUAAUGCGAUUGCUGGAGUACAUGACAAAUUUGCUACAACAGUGGAACAACAAAAACAGAAAAAGUGUAAUAGAAACAUCUACAAAGCUUGGCGAAAAGUACGACAAACUCCUUCGGGAAAAUCUAAUUGCAUCAGAGCAAAUGACGGUGAGGCCUGCUACGGAACAGUUAUAUACUGUGUUUGAAGGGGUAAGGUGAAACAUAGUGUGCCUUGAAGAGGGAACAUGCAGUUGCGGAAAAUUUCAAAUGGAUGAACUUCCAUGUCCGCAUGCUUGGGCGGUUUUGAAGAACCAACAGCUGAACCUGGCCAGUAUUGCUCUUUUUACUACAAGAAGGAUAAACUCCUUAGAACUUAUGAAUUUCCAGUGAAUCCGAUGCUAGAUGAGAGUUUAUGGGUAAUCCGAACAGAGGUGAUGGAAGAUGUGGUCCUACCACCUAAAGGGGGAAGGAAUGCAGGAAGGCCAAGAAAUGAAAGACUCAAAUCUGCUUCAGAAAAAGAGUCUAAGAGGGCGUUUUCAUGUUCUGUGUGUGGACAAGGUGGUCUCAAUAGAAAAACAUGUAGGA
Molecule: non-coding RNA, 1593 nt
Organism: Nicotiana tabacum (common tobacco)
Lineage: Eukaryota; Viridiplantae; Streptophyta; Magnoliopsida; Solanales; Solanaceae
Source: RefSeq, a predicted model, not a curated record